GACGAACGCUGGCGGCGUGCCUAAUACAUGCAAGUAGAACGCUGAAGGAGGAGCUUGCUUCUCUGGAUGAGUUGCGAACGGGUGAGUAACGCGUAGGUAACCUGCCUGGUAGCGGGGGAUAACUCUUGGAAACGAUAGCUAAUACCGCAUAAUAGUAGAUGUUGCAUGACAUUUGCUUAAAAGGUGCAAUUUCAUCACUACCAGUUGGACCUGCGUUGUAUUAGCUAGUUGGUGGUGUAACGGCUCACCAAGGCGACGAUACAUAGCCGACCUGAGAGGGGGAUCGGCCACACUGGGACUGAGAAAAGGGCCAGAAUCCUACGGGAGGCAGCAGUAGGGAAUCUUCGGGAAUAGACGGAAGGCUGACCGAGCAAAGCCGCGUGAGGGAAGAAGGUUUUCGGAUCGUAAAGCUCUGUUGUAAGAGAAGAAAGAGUGGGAGAGUGGAAAGUGCACACUGUGACGGUAUCUUACCAGAAAGGGACGGCUAACUACGUG
Molecule: ribosomal RNA, 495 nt
Filed under: uncultured bacterium
Lineage: Bacteria
Description: partial 16S ribosomal RNA
Rfam family: Bacterial small subunit ribosomal RNA
Source: RNAcentral